RNAcentral lists this ribosomal RNA (468 nucleotides) under uncultured bacterium. RNAcentral describes it as "partial 16S ribosomal RNA". It matches the Rfam family "Bacterial small subunit ribosomal RNA", at positions 28 to 507 of the family's 1533-position model. The record is from RNAcentral.
GACGAACGCUGGCGGCGUGCUUAACACAUGCAAGUCGAACGGAAAGGCCCUGCUUUUGUGGGGUGCUCGAGUGGCGAACGGGUGAGUAACACGUGAGUAACCUGCCCUUGACUUUGGGAUAAAUUCAGGAAACUGGGGCUAAUACCGGAUAGGAGCUCCUGAUGCAUGGUGGGGGUUGGAAAGUUUCGGCGGUUGGGGAUCGACUCGCGGCUUAUCCGCUUGUUGGUGGGGUAGUGGCGUACCAAGGGUUUGAAGGGUAGCCGGCCUGAGAGGGUGGCCGGCCACAUUGGGACUGAGAUACGGCCCAGAAGCCUACGGGCGGCAGCGGUGGGGAAUAUGGCACAAUGGGCGGAAGCCUGAUGCAGCAACGCCGCGUGCGGGAUGACGGCCUUCGGGUUGUAAACCGCUGUCGCCUGUGACGAAGCGUGAGUGACGGUAAUGGGUAAAGAAGCACCGGCUAACUACGUG